Homo sapiens (human) is the source of this 786-nucleotide long non-coding RNA. Lineage: Eukaryota; Metazoa; Chordata; Mammalia; Primates; Hominidae. The record is from Ensembl.
GGCUGAGGCACAGUGAGGGUCAGGGGCUUGCCCUGAUCUUUGCAGAGAGGUACCUGGAUUCUCCAUCCUUGUCGUGUCUCUGGUCUUCUCUUGGCUGGGUUUCCUGUUCUGCUUCAUCUGAAGCCAGGAGCUGUGAUCUCUGCAGAGGCUUCCUUGAUUUGCUGAGCUCUCUCCUGACUUCUUCAGCACCAUCUCCUCCCAGGUCUGAUGGGAUUUUGCCUUCUGAGAAACAAGAGAGAUGUGAGAGCCCCAGGGCUAAACCCUUCCAAGUAUCUGGGCACCAUGAUCUAGCAGACAAGUUGGUGAGGGUUAAGGAGUGGGGUGUGAGGAGGUGUGUUCUACCUCUGGGAGGAAUCGCGGCCUGGGAAUGCGGCCCUCGGUCCACUGAAGCGUGCCCAGGUCGCCCUCGACCUCUCGUACAAUCGCCUCAUACUCAGCUCGCAGGCUCUGGAACUGGCGUCGGACCAAGAAGCCCCGGACGCAGGCCUGGUAUGGAGAACGAGAGGAAAGAAGUCCCUUAUCACGGAAAAAUCCUGUGAACCCCGCGCCCGCCCCCGCACCUGCAAUGCAGACACCUUCCGAACCAGCAGCUCUGGCUCCAUGGGCGCCAACUGCCAGGCCCGCCCGCGCGCCUGCGAAGUACGUCAUUGGUCGGCGUCGCUCCUGAGCAUGCGCGGGCGUGGGCUUUGCCCCAGCCGUUCCCACGGCAACCUCCUACCGUCCAGGGUAGAGGCGUCCUGGCGACAGGCGUACCUGCGUCCCCCCAGCCCCCGACUGCCCCUCCCA